GGGGGGAGCAAGCGUUGUUCGGAUUUACUGGGCGUAAAGGGCGCGUAGGCGGCCUCUGCAAGUCGACUGUGAAAUCUCCGGGCUUAACCCGGAAAGGUCAGCCGAUACUGCAGGGCUAGAGUGCAGAAGGGGCAACUGGAAUUCUCGGUGUAGCGGUGAAAUGCGUAGAUAUCGAGAGGAACACCUGCGGCGAAGGCGGGUUGCUGGGCUGACACUGACGCUGAGGCGCGAAAGCUAGGGGAGCGAACGGGAUUAGAUACCCCGGUAGUCCUAGCCUUAAACGAUGAAUGCUUGGUGUCUGGGGUUAUAUAGUCCCCGGGUGCCGUCGCUAACGCUUUAAGCAUUCCGCCUGGGGAGUACGGUCGCAAGACUG
Molecule: ribosomal RNA, 373 nt
Filed under: uncultured bacterium
Lineage: Bacteria
Description: bacterial SSU rRNA
Rfam family: Bacterial small subunit ribosomal RNA
Source: RNAcentral